AUGGCGCUCUUCGCCGCCGCCGCCCGCCGCGCCGCCACAUCCUCCCUCCCCCUGCUCCGUGCCUCCGUAUCACACGGCGGCAUUACCCUGCCCCGGGCUCUGGCCGGCGCCGCGGCGCGGCCGAUGCCCUUCUCGUCGGCGACCGGGGUGAAGCCGAGCUCCGGUGACGAUCUCCCCCCGCGUCAUCAAGUCCGAGACCAACCUGGCCGAGCAAUGCGACGACCACGACCCGCCUUAGCCCUGAGGCCGCCACCACCAUUUGAUCAGGAGUCGGAUGAAGAGGUUGAUUCUACUGAAUCCGAAGAGGUUGAUUCUACUGAAUCCCCUGAGGUUGCUUUUAGUGAAUCCGAAGAGGUUGUUGAGUUCAGCAAGCUGGAUGUGAAACUGCAGCUUGCACUGUACAAGCUUGUGAAGGCGCUGGGUUAUGAUACUCCCGGGGUCACAGAAGUGUUGCAGGAGCCCACGAUGAGCAAAGACCGGCCCCGGCUUCUCUUCUGGGAGACCGAGCUGUGGGAUUUCCUCAACAAAGAUGCAAUGUCCCAGGCCAAUCACAGCUCGCCAAUUGGCUGCCAAGUGGCUGGACCGGUCAGCACACGCAGUUUUGCAGAAAACCCCCUGCCGUCUCCAAUUAUCAACCCGCAGUCACCCCCACCUGAAUUAAAUCUGUCGACGGCGCCCCCACCGCCACCGCUGCGGACGCGGAUGCCACGCUCGGCGAGCUCGCCUCCAACCUCUGACGCGUACGCCGACGCCGACGCCACGAUGCGCUGCUCACGCAGCAGUUCCCGCAGCCCCGACAGGGACGACCCGGACCCAGUCGCGGCCGCCACCGAGGCCCUCGCCAAGGUCGACCUCUCCGACGACCCGGACACCACCGCCACCGCCAAGUCCGGCUCCAGCAAGCCCCGUCAGGCAGCCAGAGGCGGCGGCGGUGACGUGGGCAAGUCACUCGACUACCUGUACCGCGCUAGAGCACACACACAUGACACAUGUACAAGUAGAGUAAUUCGUACCGUCGUGCUCAUCUCGGUCGCCGAUGCGGCCGGCGUCGCCCUCAUCGGAGUCAUCGUGGUGUACAUAUACUGGAAGCUGCGCGACCGGCGCGGGGACGACGACGACGAGGACGAGGAGGGGCGAGGGCUCUUCGCCUGCCCGUGCAUGCAUGCAAACACCUGCGGGGACUCGUCGGACAGGUCCGACGCGGGCGGUGGCGAGAAGAAACGCGGCAACGGUUCCGGGGGCGGAGGCGGCUGCGAGGACGGGGAGCUGGUGGCGAUCGACAAGGGGUUCCGGAUAGAGCUGGACGAGCUGCUGCGGUCGUCGGCGUACGUGCUGGGGAAGGGCGGGAAGGGGAUCGUGUACAAGGAGUUCGCGGCGGAGGCCGGCGCCGUCGGGCGCGUGCGGCACGCCAACGUGGUGCGGCUGCGCGCCUACUACUGGUCGCCCGACGAGAAGCUCGUCGUCACCGACUUCAUCAACAACGGCAACCUCGCCUCCGCGCUGCGCGAGAAGGCCCCAUCGAUGUCCCCUUUCAAAAUCACCGGCAAGGGGCUGGAGCUGAUGUCCGAAGAGGAGUACCUCCGCGUCAUCAAUUCUGGGAUCAAAUACGCCGUGGAGUGCAACAACUGCAACCGGGCUGACAAGAAAAUCACAGGAGAUGACGUGUAUAGGUACAUGAAGAUGCGCGGGGUCACGUCCUUCUCCCCCAAGUUCCUGCAAGAGACCAUACUCGACAAGCUCUAA
RNAcentral lists this ribosomal RNA (1743 nucleotides) under Triticum aestivum (bread wheat). RNAcentral's name for it is "partial small subunit ribosomal RNA". The record is from RNAcentral. Lineage: Eukaryota; Viridiplantae; Streptophyta; Magnoliopsida; Poales; Poaceae.